This 497-nucleotide ribosomal RNA is filed under the name uncultured bacterium. RNAcentral describes it as "partial 16S ribosomal RNA". It matches the Rfam family "Bacterial small subunit ribosomal RNA", at positions 28 to 507 of the family's 1533-position model. The record is from RNAcentral.
GAUGAACGCUGGCGGCGUGCCUAAUACAUGCAAGUCGAGCGAACGGACGAUAAGCUUGUUUCUUUGAUGUUAGCGGCGGACGGGCGAGUAACACGUGGAUCACCUACUUAUUUGUCUUGGAUAAUUUCGUGAAACCGGUGCUAAUACCGGAUCAUAUUUUGUACCGCAUGGUUCAAAAGUGCAUGACGGCUUUGCUGUUUCUUAUAGAUGGUUCCGCGCUGCAUUAGCUAGUUGGUAAGGUAACGGCUUACCAAGGCAACGAUGCAUAGCCGACCUGAGAGGGUGAUCGGCCACACUGGAACUGAGACACGGUCCAGACUCCUACGGGAGGCAGCAGUAGGGAAUCUUCCGCAAUGGGCGAAAGCCUGACGGAGCAACGCCGCGUGAGUGAUGAAGGUCUUCGGAUCGUAAAACUCUGUUAUUAGGGAAGAACAUAUGUGUAAGUAACUGUGCACAUCUUGACGGUACCUAAUCAGAAAGCCACGGCUAACUACGUG